UCUCCCGCCGAGCCACAUGGGACAGAGCAGCGAGCGCGCUCGUCUGCAACCGCCGGCGAGGCCUCUCGGGAUAAUGCUUAUCCCGCAGCCCCGCACUCCCUCUCUACGCCUAUAAAAGGCCCCUGGCCUCCUCUUUCUUCCUCGCUGUCUCGCACAACUCCAGGCCGCUCAUAGCUGUCGCCCCGUUCAUUUGCAUCUCGCCGGCCGAGCCAACUCCGCCGGAGAAAUACGUCUCCAGUGACCACACCCUUGCCUCCAAACUUCUUCAUUUGGAUACGUGUAACCAUGCGCAUCUUGUUGACAUCUACUCACUGUGUAGGUCUCGCUGGAGCCGCCGUCCCGACGACCUACGUCCUCGCCGGAGCACGGAGCCACCGUCCCCGCGCAACAUGACCCCGACGUCCCCGACGCAAGCCGCCUCCACCACAGGACAGCCCUCGACACGCCGGUCCCGUUCGUCUUCUCCCCCACCGCCGAGGACCACCGCAAUCGCCGUCCCGUCCGCCGCCUGACGCUAGCGCCGCCGUCCCUGUUCGUCAUCGUUGUCACAGAAUUUCUACGACGAGUAAGAGUUACGUUGUAGGGUUACGGUCUACACUCAACUUGACGUUGGCGUUGAUGGGACUCCACACCCGUUCGAUUAUUUCCGCUGAGACCUAUGAGCAUACCGAUCCAGGGAUGGCACAGAUACACAGAUGCUUGAUCGGUUGAGGUCGGCUCGCUACAUGCUGCCUAAAUUGGAUACAUUUAUUUUUCUUACAAAUGAAUGGCCCAAGAAGGACAAGAAGGAUGAACAUUGGAGCAUGAUCAAGCAUGGAGAGGAUGGCACGCGCAAGUGGAACAAGAACGGAGUUUUCGGUGGAUUUUUCAGCACUUUGAAGCCACCAUGAUGACAUACGAGGACAUGGACGAAAUAUAGAACAUGGCCUUUCAUAAAUUUCGUCCAUUGCUUAAUAUAGAUGUUGCGCCACCUUAUUUUUGGGCCAGGCCCAUGUAAUUUUGAAAUAUACUUAAUAGGCUAUUUUUGGAGCCCGUAUUAAUAGGGAAAAUGACUUAGGACAGAAUUUAGUCCCACCUUACGAAGGGUGGACGAAAUUCCCCUCUGUAUCCCUAUAAAUACAACCCUUAGGGUGUCGUUUUAGACUUGGGUUUUGUUUAGAUUAAAGUUCGCCAUACUGCAAUGCGUGUACUUCUUUUGUGUCCAAUGACCAGGCGAAGACG
Long non-coding RNA from Triticum aestivum (bread wheat), 1221 nucleotides. RefSeq lists it as uncharacterized. Lineage: Eukaryota; Viridiplantae; Streptophyta; Magnoliopsida; Poales; Poaceae. The record is from RefSeq and is a predicted model, not a curated record. The transcript has 3 exons.